RNAcentral lists this ribosomal RNA (274 nucleotides) under uncultured bacterium. RNAcentral describes it as "partial 16S ribosomal RNA". It matches the Rfam family "Bacterial small subunit ribosomal RNA", at positions 523 to 796 of the family's 1533-position model. The record is from RNAcentral.
AUACGGAGGGUGCGAGCGUUAAUCGGAAUUACUGGGCGUAAAGCGCGCGUAGGCGGUUCGAUAAGUCUGAUGUGAAAGCCCUGGGCUUAACCUGGGAAUGGCAUUGGAUACUGUUGAACUAGAGUGCGGGAGAGGAGAGUGGAAUUCUCGGUGUAGCGGUGAAAUGCGUAGAUAUCAGGAGGAACACCGGUGGCGAAGGCGACUUCCUGGACCAAUACUGACGCUGAGGCGCGAAGGCGUGGGGAGCAAACAGGAUUAGAAACCCCGGUAGUCC